Molecule: long non-coding RNA, 961 nt
Filed under: Penaeus japonicus
Lineage: Eukaryota; Metazoa; Arthropoda; Malacostraca; Decapoda; Penaeidae
Description: uncharacterized LOC122261028
Source: RNAcentral
AUGGCGGGGCUCGGGAGUGGGAGUUUCGGACUCUGUGCUAAUGUAAACCAAAAUAAAUCCUACGUGCACUUGAAGUUGACUGAUUCGGCUUUCAGAGCUUUUGAGGAUUACACAAGGAUUAAGAACACUGUCGGGAGCCCAAAGAUAUCUUUCCGAGGAAAUGAAGGGGUACGUAAAGAGGGGUUUUGGCAUAAUUCUGUGCGUAAGUAUAUAAGCAAACCUUUAAGUAAUGAAGUGAAGUGCGUGACAUAUUUGAUGAGUUUGUGCAGCCUUCACAAUAUCGGGCUGUGCUUUUGCCAGGCUUACUUGGGUGAGACUGCAGGCGGCCACGUUGGGUGGCUUGUGCCCUGCGUGUGCGUGGAAGAUGGCUAUGUGUCUGUAUAUCUGCGUGCGUUGGAGUGUGUGCGGUCUUACAUUUUAAACGUUACACAGAGUGUCAUAACGUGGCGCUCACUUGGGAGGGAGGUCGAAGCCCUCUGCAUGAAGUUUUCCAAGUCCAAGGGCGUCGGCCUUUGAGCCAUGGUGGAGUAGGGGGUCGUCCCUGGGACCUAUUCCCGAGGAAGGAGCUCGAGAUCCCUAGAAACGCAGGAUAGGUAAGCCUGUUGCUGGAUUUUCUUAUAUCGGGCUGCCAUGAGGACAUCUUCCUACCCCCUUACCCAUCCCCCUUCCCCAACCCCCUUCCUUUUCCUCUUAGCCAGUACCUCCUCCUUCCCCCCUCUUACCCCCCGUCGGAGAGAACGUCUUUUGGCAAAGGCACAAACAGGACAAGGCAGUGGGAAGGGGGAGAGAGGAAGGGGAGGGAGGAAGGGGAGGGAAGAGGCAACGGCAGCGGCAGCGGUAGUGGGAUUCGGGCCAGCGGUAACGGUACCGGCUAGCCGACCGACCGACUGACAAACCGACCGUCAUCCAUCCGUUCAUCCAACCAAUCAGCUAGUCAGUCAGUCGGCAAGUCAACUUGUCC